RNAcentral lists this ribosomal RNA (1704 nucleotides) under Salmonella enterica subsp. enterica serovar Albany. Its description in RNAcentral is "bacterial LSU rRNA". It matches the Rfam family "Bacterial large subunit ribosomal RNA", at positions 1193 to 2873 of the family's 2925-position model. The record is from RNAcentral. Lineage: Bacteria; Pseudomonadati; Pseudomonadota; Gammaproteobacteria; Enterobacterales; Enterobacteriaceae.
ACCGAAGCUGCGGCAGCGACGCUUAUGCGUUGUUGGGUAGGGGAGCGUUCUGUAAGCCUGUGAAGGUGGCCUGUGAGGGUUGCUGGAGGUAUCAGAAGUGCGAAUGCUGACAUAAGUAACGAUAAAGCGGGUGAAAAGCCCGCUCGCCGGAAGACCAAGGGUUCCUGUCCAACGUUAAUCGGGGCAGGGUGAGUCGACCCCUAAGGCGAGGCCGAAAGGCGUAGUCGAUGGGAAACGGGUUAAUAUUCCCGUACUUGGUGUUACUGCGAAGGGGGGACGGAGAAGGCUAUGUUGGCCGGGCGACGGUUGUCCCGGUUUAAGCGUGUAGGUGUGUGUUCCAGGUAAAUCCGGUUCACUUUAACACUGAGGCGUGACGACGAGGCACUACGGUGCUGAAGCAACAAAUGCCCUGCUUCCAGGAAAAGCCUCUAAGCAUCAGGUAACAUCAAAUCGUACCCCAAACCGACACAGGUGGUCAGGUAGAGAAUACCAAGGCGCUUGAGAGAACUCGGGUGAAGGAACUAGGCAAAAUGGUGCCGUAACUUCGGGAGAAGGCACGCUGACACGUAGGUGAAGUGAUUUACUCAUGGAGCUGAAGUCAGUCGAAGAUACCAGCUGGCUGCAACUGUUUAUUAAAAACACAGCACUGUGCAAACACGAAAGUGGACGUAUACGGUGUGACGCCUGCCCGGUGCCGGAAGGUUAAUUGAUGGGGUCAGCGCAAGCGAAGCUCCUGAUCGAAGCCCCGGUAAACGGCGGCCGUAACUAUAACGGUCCUAAGGUAGCGAAAUUCCUUGUCGGGUAAGUUCCGACCUGCACGAAUGGCGUAAUGAUGGCCAGGCUGUCUCCACCCGAGACUCAGUGAAAUUGAACUCGCUGUGAAGAUGCAGUGUACCCGCGGCAAGACGGAAAGACCCCGUGAACCUUUACUAUAGCUUGACACUGAACAUUGAGCCUUGAUGUGUAGGAUAGGUGGGAGGCUUUGAAGUGUGGACGCCAGUCUGCAUGGAGCCGACCUUGAAAUACCACCCUUUAAUGUUUGAUGUUCUAACGUGGACCCGUAAUCCGGGUUGCGGACAGUGUCUGGUGGGUAGUUUGACUGGGGCGGUCUCCUCCUAAAGAGUAACGGAGGAGCACGAAGGUUGGCUAAUCCUGGUCGGACAUCAGGAGGUUAGUGCAAUGGCAUAAGCCAGCUUGACUGCGAGCGUGACGGCGCGAGCAGGUGCGAAAGCAGGUCAUAGUGAUCCGGUGGUUCUGAAUGGAAGGGCCAUCGCUCAACGGAUAAAAGGUACUCCGGGGAUAACAGGCUGAUACCGCCCAAGAGUUCAUAUCGACGGCGGUGUUUGGCACCUCGAUGUCGGCUCAUCACAUCCUGGGGCUGAAGUAGGUCCCAAGGGUAUGGCUGUUCGCCAUUUAAAGUGGUACGCGAGCUGGGUUUAGAACGUCGUGAGACAGUUCGGUCCCUAUCUGCCGUGGGCGCUGGAGAACUGAGGGGGGCUGCUCCUAGUACGAGAGGACCGGAGUGGACGCAUCACUGGUGUUCGGGUUGUCAUGCCAAUGGCACUGCCCGGUAGCUAAAUGCGGAAGAGAUAAGUGCUGAAAGCAUCUAAGCACGAAACUUGCCCCGAGAUGAGUUCUCCCUGAGACUUAGAGUCUCCUGAAGGAACGUUGAAGACGACGACGUUGAUAGGCCGGGUGUGUAAG